GGUGGUGUGGCUCAAGUGGUAGAGCACUUGCCUAACAAGUGCAAGACUCUGAGACCAACCCUCAGUACUGCCA
RNAcentral lists this transfer RNA (73 nucleotides) under Dipodomys ordii (Ord's kangaroo rat). It matches the Rfam family "tRNA". Rfam says of the family: Transfer RNA (tRNA) molecules are approximately 80 nucleotides in length. Lineage: Eukaryota; Metazoa; Chordata; Mammalia; Rodentia; Heteromyidae. The record is from Rfam by way of RNAcentral.